GGACCCGCACAAGCGGUGGAGCAUGUGGUUUAAUUCGAUGCAACGCGAAAAACCUUACCUACUCUUGACAUACUUGGAAGCUCUUGUAAUGAGAGUGUGCCUUUUGGAACCAAGAUACAGGUGCUGCAUGGCUGUCGUCAGCUCGUGUCGUGAGAUGUUCCGUUAAGUCGGAUAACGAGCGCAACCCUUACCCUUAUUUGCCAGCGAUUCGGUCGGGAACUAUAAGGGGACUGCCGGUGAUAAACCGGAGGAAGGUGAGGACGACGUCAAGUCAUCAUGGCCCUUACGAGUAGGGCUACACACGUGCUACAAUGGGGAAUACAGACGGACGCUAAGCCGCGAGGUGGUGCUAAUCUUUAAAACCGAUCUCAGUUCGGAUCGCAGUCUGCAACUCGACUGCGUGAAGCUGGAAUC
This 414-nucleotide ribosomal RNA is filed under the name uncultured bacterium. RNAcentral describes it as "bacterial SSU rRNA". It matches the Rfam family "Bacterial small subunit ribosomal RNA", at positions 917 to 1333 of the family's 1533-position model. The record is from RNAcentral.